UUAAGUGACUAAGCGUACACGGUGGAUGCCCUGGCAGUCAGAGGCGAUGAAGGACGUGCUAAUCUGCGAUAAGCGUCGGUAAGGUGAUAUGAACCGUUAUAACCGGCGAUUUCCGAAUGGGGAAACCCAGUGUGUUUCGACACACUAUCAUUAACUGAAUCCAUAGGUUAAUGAGGCGAACCGGGGGAACUGAAACAUCUAAGUACCCCGAGGAAAAGAAAUCAACCGAGAUUCCCCCAGUAGCGGCGAGCGAACGGGGAGCAGCCCAGAGCCUGAAUCAGUGUGUGUGUUAGUGGAAGCGUCUGGAAAGGCGCGCGAUACAGGGUGACAGCCCCGUACACAAAAAUGCACAUACUGUGAGCUCGAUGAGUAGGGCGGGACACGUGGUAUCCUGUCUGAAUAUGGGGGGACCAUCCUCCAAGGCUAAAUACUCCUGACUGACCGAUAGUGAACCAGUACCGUGAGGGAAAGGCGAAAAGAACCCCGGCGAGGGGAGUGAAAAAGAACCUGAAACCGUGUACGUACAAGCAGUGGGAGCCUCUUUAUGGGGUGACUGCGUACCUUUUGUAUAAUGGGUCAGCGACUUAUAUUCUGUAGCAAGGUUAACCGAAUAGGGGAGCCGAAGGGAAACCGAGUCUUAACUGGGCGUUAAGUUGCAGGGUAUAGACCCGAAACCCGGUGAUCUAGCCAUGGGCAGGUUGAAGGUUGGGUAACACUAACUGAAGGACCGAACCGACUAAUGUUGAAAAAUUAGCGGAUGACUUGUGGCUGGGGGUGAAAGGCCAAUCAAACCGGGAGAUAGCUGGUUCUCCCCGAAAGCUAUUUAGGUAGCGCCUCGUGAAUUCAUCUCCGGGGGUAGAGCACUGUUUCGGCAAGGGGGUCAUCCCGACUUACCAACCCGAUGCAAACUGCGAAUACCGGAGAAUGUUAUCACGGGAGACACACGGCGGGUGCUAACGUCCGUCGUGAAGAGGGAAACAACCCAGACCGCCAGCUAAGGUCCCAAAGUCAUGGUUAAGUGGGAAACGAUGUGGGAAGGCCCAGACAGCCAGGAUGUUGGCUUAGAAGCAGCCAUCAUUUAAAGAAAGCGUAAUAGCUCACUGGUCGAGUCGGCCUGCGCGGAAGAUGUAACGGGGCUAAACCAUGCACCGAAGCUGCGGCAGCGACGCUGAUGCGUUGUUGGGUAGGGGAGCGUUCUGUAAGCCUGCGAAGGUGUGCUGUGAGGCAUGCUGGAGGUAUCAGAAGUGCGAAUGCUGACAUAAGUAACGAUAAAGCGGGUGAAAAGCCCGCUCGCCGGAAGACCAAGGGUUCCUGUCCAACGUUAAUCGGGGCAGGGUGAGUCGACCCCUAAGGCGAGGCCGAAAGGCGUAGUCGAUGGGAAACAGGUUAAUAUUCCUGUACUUGGUGUUACUGCGAAGGGGGGACGGAGAAGGCUAUGUUGGCCGGGCGACGGUUGUCCCGGUUUAAGCGUGUAGGCUGGUUUUCCAGGCAAAUCCGGAAAAUCAAGGCUGAGGCGUGAUGACGAGGCACUACGGUGCUGAAGCAACAAAUGCCCUGCUUCCAGGAAAAGCCUCUAAGCAUCAGGUAACAUCAAAUCGUACCCCAAACCGACACAGGUGGUCAGGUAGAGAAUACCAAGGCGCUUGAGAGAACUCGGGUGAAGGAACUAGGCAAAAUGGUGCCGUAACUUCGGGAGAAGGCACGCUGAUAUGUAGGUGAAGCGACUUGCUCGUGGAGCUGAAAUCAGUCGAAGAUACCAGCUGGCUGCAACUGUUUAUUAAAAACACAGCACUGUGCAAACACGAAAGUGGACGUAUACGGUGUGACGCCUGCCCGGUGCCGGAAGGUUAAUUGAUGGGGUCAGCGCAAGCGAAGCUCUUGAUCGAAGCCCCGGUAAACGGCGGCCGUAACUAUAACGGUCCUAAGGUAGCGAAAUUCCUUGUCGGGUAAGUUCCGACCUGCACGAAUGGCGUAAUGAUGGCCAGGCUGUCUCCACCCGAGACUCAGUGAAAUUGAACUCGCUGUGAAGAUGCAGUGUACCCGCGGCAAGACGGAAAGACCCCGUGAACCUUUACUAUAGCUUGACACUGAACAUUGAGCCUUGAUGUGUAGGAUAGGUGGGAGGCUUAGAAGUGUGGACGCCAGUCUGCAUGGAGCCGACCUUGAAAUACCACCCUUUAAUGUUUGAUGUUCUAACGUAGACCCGUGAUCCGGGUUGCGGACAGUGUCUGGUGGGUAGUUUGACUGGGGCGGUCUCCUCCUAAAGAGUAACGGAGGAGCACGAAGGUUGGCUAAUCCUGGUCGGACAUCAGGAGGUUAGUGCAAUGGCAUAAGCCAGCUUGACUGCGAGCGUGACGGCGCGAGCAGGUGCGAAAGCAGGUCAUAGUGAUCCGGUGGUUCUGAAUGGAAGGGCCAUCGCUCAACGGAUAAAAGGUACUCCGGGGAUAACAGGCUGAUACCGCCCAAGAGUUCAUAUCGACGGCGGUGUUUGGCACCUCGAUGUCGGCUCAUCACAUCCUGGGGCUGAAGUAGGUCCCAAGGGUAUGGCUGUUCGCCAUUUAAAGUGGUACGCGAGCUGGGUUUAGAACGUCGUGAGACAGUUCGGUCCCUAUCUGCCGUGGGCGCUGGAGAACUGAGGGGGGCUGCUCCUAGUACGAGAGGACCGGAGUGGACGCAUCACUGGUGUUCGGGUUGUCAUGCCAAUGGCACUGCCCGGUAGCUAAAUGCGGAAGAGAUAAGUGCUGAAAGCAUCUAAGCACGAAACUUGCCCCGAGAUGAGUUCUCCCUGACUCCUUGAGAGUCCUGAAGGAACGUUGAAGACGACGACGUUGAUAGGCCGGGUGUGUAAGCGCAGCGAUGCGUUGAGCUAACCGGUACUAAUGAACCGUGAGGCUUAACCUU
Molecule: ribosomal RNA, 2901 nt
Filed under: Escherichia coli
Lineage: Bacteria; Pseudomonadati; Pseudomonadota; Gammaproteobacteria; Enterobacterales; Enterobacteriaceae
Description: bacterial LSU rRNA
Rfam family: Bacterial large subunit ribosomal RNA
Source: RNAcentral